UGCAAGUCGAACGCCUAUAGCAAUAUAGGAGUGGCGCACGGGUGAGUAAUACAUGGGAAUAUCCCCUUUAGUUCGGAAUAACCAAGGGAAACUUUGGCUAAUACCGGAUACGCUCUAAGGAGGAAAGAUUUAUCGCUGAAGGAUUAGCCCAUGCGAGAUUACGGUAGUUGGUGGGGUAAAGGCCUACCAAGCCUACGAUCUCUAGCUGAUCUGAGAGGAUGAUCAGCCACACUGGAACUGAGACACGGUCCAGACUCCUACGGGAGGCAGCAGUGGGGAAUAUUGGGCAAUGGGCGCAAGCCUGACCCAGCCAUGCCGCGUGAAUGAUGAAGGCCUUAGGGUUGUAAAGUUCUUUCGUCGCUGAAGAUAAUGACGGUAAGCGAAGAAGAAGCACCGGCUAACUUCGUGCCAGCAGCCGCGGUAAUACGAAGGGUGCUAGCGUUGUUCGGAAUCACUGGGCGUAAAGCGCGCGUAGGCGGCGUAAUAAGCUAGGGGUGAAAUCCCAGGGCUCAACCCUGGAACUGCCUUUAGAACUGUUACGCUGGAGACUUGGAGGGGAUAGUGGAAUUCCAAAUGUAGAGGUGAAAUUCGUAGAGAUUUGGAGGAACACCGAUGGCGAAGGCAGCUAUCUGGGCCAAGUACUGACGCUGAGGCGCGAAAGCGUGGGGAUCAAACAGGAUUAGAUACCCUGGUAGUCCACGCUGUAAACGAUGAGUGCUAGAUGUCGACUCUUUAAGGCCGUGUCGCAGCUAACGCAUUAAGCACUCCGCCUGGGGAGUACGGUCGCAAGAUUAAAACUCAAAGGAAUUGACGGGGACCCGCAUAAGCGGUGGAGCAUGUGGUUUAAUUCGAGGCAACGCGAAGAACCUUACAGGCCUUGACUUGUCCCUUGGGUCACAGAAAACUGAUCCUCACCUCGGUGGGGG
RNAcentral lists this ribosomal RNA (926 nucleotides) under uncultured Alphaproteobacteria bacterium. RNAcentral describes it as "bacterial SSU rRNA". It matches the Rfam family "Bacterial small subunit ribosomal RNA", at positions 56 to 1029 of the family's 1533-position model. Lineage: Bacteria; Pseudomonadati; Pseudomonadota; Alphaproteobacteria. The record is from RNAcentral.